UACAGAGGUCUCAAGCGUUGUUCGGAUUCAUUGGGCGUAAAGGGUGCGUAGGCGGCGCGGUAAGUCGGGUGUGAAAUCUCGGAGCUUAACUCCGAAACUGCAUUCGAUACUGCCGUGCUUGAGGACUGGAGAGGAGACUGGAAUUUACGGUGUAGCGGUGAUAUGCGUAGAUAUCGUAAGGAAGACCAGUGGCGAAGGCGGGUCUCUGGACAGUUCCUGACGCUGAGGCACGAAGGUCAGGGGAGCAAACGGG
RNAcentral lists this ribosomal RNA (253 nucleotides) under uncultured bacterium. RNAcentral's name for it is "partial 16S ribosomal RNA". It matches the Rfam family "Bacterial small subunit ribosomal RNA", at positions 524 to 776 of the family's 1533-position model. The record is from RNAcentral.